This 476-nucleotide ribosomal RNA is filed under the name uncultured bacterium. Its description in RNAcentral is "bacterial SSU rRNA". It matches the Rfam family "Bacterial small subunit ribosomal RNA", at positions 28 to 527 of the family's 1533-position model. The record is from RNAcentral.
GACGAACGCUGGCGGCGUGCCUAACACAUGCAAGUCGAGCGAGAUACCUUCGGGUAUCUAGCGGCGGACGGGUGAGUAACACGUGGGUAACCUGCCUCAUAGAGGGGGAUAGCCUUCCGAAAGGGAGAUUAAUACCGCAUAUACUCCAAGCAUCGCAUGGUGCAAGGAGGAAAGGAGUAAUCCGCUAUGAGAUGGACCCGCGGCGCAUUAGCUAGUUGGUGAGGUAACGGCUCACCAAGGCGACGAUGCGUAGCCGACCUGAGAGGGUGAUCGGCCACAUUGGAACUGAGAAACGGUCCAGACUCCUACGGGAGGCAGCAGUGGGGAAUAUUGCACAAUGGGCGAAAGCCUGAUGCAGCAACGCCGCGUGAGUGAUGAAGUACUUCGGUAUGUAAAGCUCUGUCUUUGGGGACGAUAAUGACGGUACCCAAGGAGGAAGCCACGGCUAACUACGUGCCAGCAGCCGCGGUAAUACG